RNAcentral lists this small nuclear RNA (140 nucleotides) under Mustela putorius furo (domestic ferret). RNAcentral describes it as "U2 spliceosomal RNA". It matches the Rfam family "U2 spliceosomal RNA". Rfam says of the family: U2 is a small nuclear RNA (snRNA) component of the spliceosome (involved in pre-mRNA splicing). The record is from Rfam by way of RNAcentral. Lineage: Eukaryota; Metazoa; Chordata; Mammalia; Carnivora; Mustelidae.
AUCGCUUCUUGGCCUUUUGGCUAAGACCAAGUGUAGUAUAUAAUAGUGUAGUAUAGUUUGGGGGUAAUGAACAUUUCAGACUUUUCUAUAAAAUCUGUUUAGCAAGUGGAACUCAUCUAAAGAGUUCCUGUUUAGAGUUU